GUACACGCUGUGACUAGCAUAUCAAUAAGCGGAGGAAAAGAAACUAACAAGGAUUCCCCUAGUAACGGCGAGUGAAGCGGGAAGAGCUCAAAUUUGAAAUCUUAAAGGGUUUCCCUUUACGAAUUGUAGUUUAAAGAAGUGUUUUCUGUUGAGGUUUUGGUAAAAGUUCUUUGGAAUAGGACAUCAUAGAGGGUGAGGAUCCCGUAUUUGACCUUUACUUUCAACUUUGUGAUACACUUUCAAAGAGUCGGAUUGUUUGGGAAUGCAGUCCAAAAUGGGUGGUAAAUUUCAUCUAAAGCUAAAUAUUGGCGAGAGACCGAUAGCGAACAAGUACCGUGAGGGAAAGAUGAAAAGAACUUUGAAAAGAGAGUUAAACAGUACGUGAAAUUGUCAAAAGGGAAGCGUUUGACACCAGUGUUGUUUUUCUGAAAAUCAGUUAAAGAACUGUUUAUGCUAAGCUGUUUAGACUUUAUCAGCUAUCUGUUUAGUUUUGAGCUUUUCUUUAAUGCACUUUUCAGUUAACAAGUCAACAUCAAUUUCUUUUGCUGUAAAAAAGCUUGAGGAAGGUGGCUUGAGAUUCGUCUUAAGUGUUUAUAGCCUCUUGCCUAUGCAGUCGGAGAGAUUGAGGUCUGCAGCGUAGAUCCUUCGGGGCUAAGUGCAUUUGUGCUAAGUUAUAGCAUUUCAUAGACAACUUGUUGACUAUGACUUGUCUUGUAGCUUACUCGCUUAUGUUAUUUUACCUACGCUUAGGAUGUUGACGAGACUGUCGAUCUC
RNAcentral lists this ribosomal RNA (774 nucleotides) under uncultured Neocallimastigales. Its description in RNAcentral is "partial large subunit ribosomal RNA". It matches the Rfam family "Eukaryotic large subunit ribosomal RNA", at positions 22 to 647 of the family's 3401-position model. Lineage: Eukaryota; Fungi; Neocallimastigomycota; Neocallimastigomycetes; Neocallimastigales. The record is from RNAcentral.